This 353-nucleotide unclassified non-coding RNA is filed under the name uncultured Sebacinales. RNAcentral's name for it is "sequence contains ITS1". The stretch from base 1 to 105 matches the Rfam family "5.8S ribosomal RNA", at positions 50 to 154 of the family's 154-position model. The record is from RNAcentral. Lineage: Eukaryota; Fungi; Basidiomycota; Agaricomycetes; Sebacinales.
GAAAUGCGAUAAGUAAUGUGAAUUGCAGAAUUCAGUGAAUCAUCGAAUCUUUGAACGCACCUUGCACCCUUUGGUAUUCCGAAGGGUACGCCCGUUUGAGUGUCAUUGUAAUCUCACUUCUACAACUUUAUUGUUGUUUGAAUGUGGACUUGGAUGUUGCCGUUUUAUCACGGCUCAUCUUAAAUGCCUGAGUGUACCCUGUUUUGCAGCGUAUCCAGUGUAAUAAACAUUUCACUAGAGUUGGUUGAAAGACCGCGUUGACUAUAUGGGCUCUAUGCUUCAAACCGUCUGCUCUGUGGACAAUUUCUUGACAAUUUGACCUCAAAUCGGGUGGGACUACCCGCUGAACUUAA